GCGGAGGAAAAGAAACCAACAGGGAUUGCCCUAGUAACGGCGAGUGAAGCGGCAACAGCUCAAAUUUGAAAUCUGGCUCUCUUUGGGGGUCCGAGUUGUAAUUUGCAGAGGAUGCUUUGGCAUUGGCGGCGGUCUAAGUUCCUUGGAACAGGACAUCGCAGAGGGUGAGAAUCCCGUACGUGGGCGCCUGCCUUUGCCGUGUAAAGCUCCUUCGACGAGUCGAGUUGUUUGGGAAUGCAGCUCUAAAUGGGAGGUAAAUUUCUUCUAAAGCUAAAUACCGGCCAGAGACCGAUAGCGCACAAGUAGAGUGAUCGAAAGAUGAAAAGUACUUUGGAAAGAGAGUCAAAAAGCACGUGAAAUUGUUGAAAGGGAAGCGCUUGCAGCCAGACUUGCCCGCAGUUGCUCACCUAGGCUUUGGCCUGGGGCACUCUUCUGCGGGCAGGCCAGCAUCAGUUUGGGCGGUUGGAUAAAGGCCUCUGUCACGUAUCUCCCUUCGGGGUGACCUUAUAGGGGAGGCGUAAUGCAACCAGCCCGGACUGAGGUCCGCGCAUCUGCUAGGAUGCUGGCGUAAUGGCUGUAAGCGGCCCGUCUUGAAACACGGACCAAGGAGUCUAACAUCUAUGCGAGUGUUUGGGUGUCAAGCCCGGGCGCGCAAUGAAAGUGAACGGAGGUGGGAACCCUUUGGGUGCACCAUCGACCGAUCCUGAUGUCUUCGGAUGGAUUUGAGUAAGAGCAUAGCUGUUGGGACCCGAAAGAUGGUGAACUAUGCUUGAAUAGGGUGAAGCCAGAGGAAACUCUGGUGGAGGCUCGCAGCGGUUCUGACGUGCAAAUCGAUCGUCAAAUUUGGGCAUAGGGGCGAAAGACUAAUCGAACCAUCUAGUAGCUGGUUCCUGCCGA
Molecule: small RNA, 897 nt
Filed under: Paraconiothyrium fuckelii
Lineage: Eukaryota; Fungi; Ascomycota; Dothideomycetes; Pleosporales; Didymosphaeriaceae
Description: eukaryotic LSU rRNA
Rfam family: Eukaryotic large subunit ribosomal RNA
Source: RNAcentral